AUUUAAAUAUCUUAAUUAAAGAGUAGUAUUGAAGUUACUAAGAUAGUUAUGAAAUAGCUUUUAAAUA
RNAcentral lists this transfer RNA (67 nucleotides) under Neotrogla sp. 5 KY-2017. RNAcentral describes it as "tRNA-Phe". The record is from RNAcentral. Lineage: Eukaryota; Metazoa; Arthropoda; Insecta; Psocodea; Prionoglarididae.